GCUAUCUACAGGCUUAACACAUGCAAGUCGAGGGGCAGCAUGGUCUUAGCUUGCUAAGACUGAUGGCGACCGGCGCACGGGUGAGUAACACGUAUCCAACCUGCCGUCUACUCUUGGACAGCCUUCUGAAAGGAAGAUUAAUACAAGAUGGCAUCAUGAGUCCGCAUGUUCACAUGAUUAAAGGUAUUCCGGUAGACGAUGGGGAUGCGUUCCAUUAGAUAGUAGGCGGGGUAACGGCCCACCUAGUCUUCGAUGGAUAGGGGUUCUGAGAGGAAGGUCCCCCACAUUGGAACUGAGACACGGUCCAAACUCCUACGGGAGGCAGCAGUGAGGAAUAUUGGUCAAUGGGCGAGAGCCUGAACCAGCCAAGUAGCGUGAAGGAUGACUGCCCUAUGGGUUGUAAACUUCUUUUAUAAAGGAAUAAAGUCGGGUAUGCAUACCCGUUUGCAUGUACUUUAUGAAUAAGGAUCGGCUAACUCCGUGCCAGCAGCCGCGGUAAUACGGAGGAUCCGAGCGUUAUCCGGAUUUAUUGGGUUUAAAGGGAGCGUAGAUGGAUGUUUAAGUCAGUUGUGAAAGUUUGCGGCUCAACCGUAAAAUUGCAGUUGAUACUGGAUAUCUUGAGUGCAGUUGAGGCAGGCGGAAUUCGUGGUGUAGCGGUGAAAUGCUUAGAUAUCACGAAGAACUCCGAUUGCGAAGGCAGCCUGCUAAGCUGCAACUGACAUUGAGGCUCGAAAGUGUGGGUAUCAAACAGGAUUAGAUACCCUGGUAGUCCACACGGUAAACGAUGAAUACUCGCUGUUUGCGAUAUACGGCAAGCGGCCAAGCGAAAGCGUUAAGUAUUCCACCUGGGGAGUACGCCGGCAACGGUGAAACUCAAAGGAAUUGACGGGGGCCCGCACAAGCGGAGGAACAUGUGGUUUAAUUCGAUGAUACGCGAGGAACCUUACCCGGGCUUAAAUUGCAGAUGAAUUACGGUGAAAGCCGUAAGCCGCAAGGCAUCUGUGAAGGUGCUGCAUGGUUGUCGUCAGCUCGUGCCGUGAGGUGUCGGCUUAAGUGCCAUAACGAGCGCAACCCUUGUUGUCAGUUACUAACAGGUUCUGCUGAGGACUCUGACAAGACUGCCAUCGUAAGAUGUGAGGAAGGUGGGGAUGACGUCAAAUCAGCACGGCCCUUACGUCCGGGGCUACACACGUGUUACAAUGGGGGGUACAGAGGGCCGCUACCACGCGAGUGGAUGCCAAUCCCCAAAACCUCUCUCAGUUCGGACUGGAGUCUGCAACCCGACUCCACGAAGCUGGAUUCGCUAGUAAUCGCGCAUCAGCCACGGCGCGGUGAAUACGUUCCCGGGCCUUGUACACACCGCCCGUCAAGCCAUGGGAGCCGGGGGUACCUGAAGUGCGUAACCGCGAGGAGCGCCCUAGGGUAAAACUGGUGACUGGGGCUAAG
RNAcentral lists this ribosomal RNA (1446 nucleotides) under uncultured organism. RNAcentral describes it as "SSU rRNA". It matches the Rfam family "Bacterial small subunit ribosomal RNA". The record is from RNAcentral.